UGAGGAAUAUUGGUACAAUGGAGGGCAAGUCUGACCCAGCCAUGCCGCGUGCAGGAAGACGGCCCUAUGGGUUGUAAACUGCUUUUGUCCGGGAAGAAACCCCCCUACGUGUACGGGUGUUGACGGUACCGUAAGAAUAAGCACCGGCUAACUCCGUGCCAGCA
RNAcentral lists this ribosomal RNA (164 nucleotides) under uncultured Psychroserpens sp. Its description in RNAcentral is "partial 16S ribosomal RNA". It matches the Rfam family "Bacterial small subunit ribosomal RNA", at positions 355 to 513 of the family's 1533-position model. Lineage: Bacteria; Pseudomonadati; Bacteroidota; Flavobacteriia; Flavobacteriales; Flavobacteriaceae. The record is from RNAcentral.